AUUAGUCAAUGCAGAGACAAGGCAAGUGGAGUAUUUGCAACGUUGGCCUGGAGCCCAGCAUGCGCCCCCUCCCAUAGAUCCAGGACAGGGAUCUGGAUGGCUGUGGGUUCAGGUCAACAAAUGUCCAUGGAGUCACCCAUCAAUCCAAGGCUCCCAGCAGAAGGCAGACAGUGUGACUUGGCUGCAGGCUUUGCCAUUCGCUGCCUGUGAGACACAAGCAAGUAGGCGAAGGUAUCCAAGCCUCAGUUUUCAUGAAGCAUCAGAAUGAUGGUGCCACUGGCUACAUGGAGAAGGAAGGAGAGGAGAAUGCUAGCUGCACUCCCUGGCUACAUGCAAACAGAUGCAGCACGAAGCCUUGGGAACCUUGGCAAGGGAUUUAAACAAUCUCCCUCUAAUGCAUGUAACAUGGUGCUGCUGGACUUCCCAGAACAGGAUUUUAAGAUGGUUCCGAGAGUGGAACCUGGUAACUCCUGAGAGCACCUCUCUGCUUGGUCUGCUCUGGGGGUGGGCUGCUGGCCCAUCUGUGGCUAGCCUCAGGAUAGAGGGAAGGGAGCUGCAGCAGCUGCCAUGACGUGUUGGGAAGGGAACUGUCAUGUUCGCAGCAGCCCUGGUGGGUCUGAUGUUUUCUUAAUUAUCCUUCAAGCUCCAAAAGCACAUCCAUGUCUCUGGGGACACAUACAAGUCAUGUCACUUUAUGUUCCUUUGGAACUAUGUCUCUUUGGACUGUCUGGCUUAUAGUUGUUGUUCAGGGCCAAGUGAUGUGUCACCCUUCUCUGAAAUGUCUGCAUCCUGUGAAUUGUUUAGCCUACUUUCCCCUGACCCCAGGCUCAGGCCCCUCUUCUCUGCUCUCACCGUACCUUUCACCCCACAUCCAGUCCCCUCCCAAAAUCCUCCCAGUUUUACUUCUGUGCCCUUUUGACAGGGCACAGUCAUUUAUACUUUAACCUUUCCACCAGAAAGUCGACGUUGAAGAUGUCCAGGACAAACUUAAGUUUCAGUGUUUGUUGAACUCUCUGUGCCCUCUCCAGUAGACUGCAAUUCCUCAUGCCCUCAGACGCUACCCUACCUGCCUGUUCUGCAGGACUAACCCCACGUGGAGACAGUCAGCCCCCACCCCAGUGGGGACGUGCACUGGAGAGCUUCCAGAAGGCCUGCAGAUAGCUUCUCUCCUGUCCUACCAUAGUGCCUGAAAUUCCCACCAGAAAUGCCACUCUUGUGGAUUACAGCAUCCAGCUCCAGAAAGCCUUUGUUACCUCAAUUUUGCUUAUGAGGAAAUGAAGGCUGAGGAUUCCAGUGACUUUUCCAAGUUCAAGAUCAACCACUGGCAAGAUCAGAGCUGAACCCGGCCAAAUGAACCCAAAUCCCAUGCUCUUUCCACACCACCACACUGGGGCAGGAAGGAUAUCCCAUGCUCUUUCCACACCACCACACUGGGGCAGGAAGGACGAUUUGAUUUUUCACAGCUCUAGAGCAGGAUGACUUGCCCAGAUUUCACCCCUUGAGAAUUAGGAGGAGGGAAAGGGAAUUUCAGAGGGUUUCUUCUUCUUCUUCUUCUUUUUUUUUUUUUGAGAUGGAAUCUUGCUCUGUCGCCCAGGCUGGAGUGCAGUGGCAUGAUCUCGGCUCACUGCAACCUCCACCUCCCAGGUUCAAGCAAUUCUCCUGCCUCAGCCUCCCAAGUAACUGGGAUUACAGGCGUCCAUCACUAUGCUUGGCUAAUUUUUGUAUUCUUAGUAGAGAUGGGGCCACCAUAUUGGCCAGGCUGGUCUCAAACUUUUUACCUCGUGAUCUGCCCGCCUCGGCCUCCCAAAGUGUUGGGAUUACAGGCAUGAGCCACCAUGCCUGGCCCAGUUUUCUUCUUUAUACUUAUUUUUUCAAGACAUUGCAGCAUUGCCUUAACCUCUCUCUCUUUUUUUUUUUUUUUUUUUUUGAGAUGGAGUCUCGCUUUGUUGCCCAGGCUGGAGUACAAUGGCAUGAUCUCAGCUCACUGCGACCUAUACCUCCCUG
This 2004-nucleotide non-coding RNA is filed under the name Pongo abelii (Sumatran orangutan). The record is from RNAcentral. Lineage: Eukaryota; Metazoa; Chordata; Mammalia; Primates; Hominidae.